AGGGCUAUAUCACUUUGAAACACCGAUUCCCGUACAAUCACCGAAAUUAAGUAAAGUCGAGCCUGGUCAGUAGCUAGAUGGAUGACCACUUGGGAAUAACAGGUGAUGUA
Molecule: non-coding RNA, 110 nt
Organism: Acanthosepion pharaonis
Lineage: Eukaryota; Metazoa; Mollusca; Cephalopoda; Sepiida; Sepiidae
Source: the annotation of a GenBank genome assembly